CGCUCUUCAUUUAAAUGGUCUGGAAAUCAUCCGUGUGUUUACUCCCCUGAUAGUUUAGUUGUAUGUUUGUGCAUGAUGUGUUGACUGAAUGUAGUGACUUAACACAGUUUCUCUCCGUGUCUCUGUCAUGGCGACUCAGAGAUCCAACCCUGGGACGUGUUGUAAAGCAGGAUCAGUGAGUACCAGCUUCAGAGCUUCAGGUUUAACAUUUGCAUUAGUGAAGUCCCUGAGUGCAAAGACAUAAAAACCAAAGAAAUCAUGGCCAUCAAGAUCAUCAUGAAGGGGGCCAAUGAUUCCAGGAACCCAACAGAGAGCUGCUCGCCGCGCUCGAGUCUCUGAAGACUGUUGGUGUCAUUCAUACUAAUAUUAAACUGCAUAACAUCAUGUUGGUGAACCAAAAAGACCAACCCUUCAGAGUCAAACUGACUUUGGUUCAGCUGACUUUGAUGUCAAGGGCACCGUCAUCGUGCAGCCAGUUGGAUACAGGUCUCCAGAUGUUACUCUGGGCCUUCCCAUCCCAGAGGCAGUAGCUAUGUGGUCUUUGGAUGCUGUUUUGGCAACCAUGUACCUCGGCAGCCUGCCAAUCCCCACAGAGGUGCAUGAAUUGCCUGUUGAAAACUAUUGUGAAGGACACUUUGGGUCAGCCAGAGGACGAGCUGUUACUGUGUGUAACGGCACCAACACCCUGCUCUACUUCAGCCCGAACCAAGGAGGCUCAAGUACAAGGCUGCGACUGGCUUCCCACCCCAAAAUCACAGAGGCAGCUCAACCAGGUUCAACUGUUGGGAUGACCUAGUGAUGAUGACGCUUCAGUCGCACCUGACUGGCCUAAAUGACACCUGUGAGGAAUCGGAUGAAGCUGCUCCAGCUGAUAAAGCUGCAAUCAACAAUCCCUCUACUGCUGAAGCUCCUUCUGUACCUACAGUACCAACAGCUGACUCCACUGAUGUCAGCAUCAACUCUGAUGGCGUCUCAGCCUCCGGCUCCAGAAUCACUCAGAGGCAGCCUCUUCUGUGCUGGUGUUGCUCUGUAGACAUUGUGGAAUGAUUCCCUGUAAUAAUCUACCGUGUCGUUCUUCAUGUAAUUUAUCUGCAUGUAAAA
Molecule: long non-coding RNA, 1101 nt
Organism: Siniperca chuatsi (mandarin fish)
Lineage: Eukaryota; Metazoa; Chordata; Actinopteri; Centrarchiformes; Sinipercidae
Exons: 6
Source: RefSeq, a predicted model, not a curated record